AAUGUUUGCCAUACACAGUUCGAUUCCAAGCUUAAAUGGAAAGAAAUACAGGUUGGCCUGUUAAAGCUUUGAACAGAGCCAUAAAGAGGAGCGGAGGAGUGGGCAUGGGAACAAAAAAAAAGUAGGGGGAAAAGGAGUUCAUGAAGUGAUGCACACUGUAUAGCUUGACUACUAACAUGUUUGUGAAAGUUAAUCAACUACUUGCAAUUUUUCAAAAUCCUAAUAAUCCAUCUCUUACAAAAAGAUUAAUAAUCAAUCCACUGGCUUGGUAGCUGGUACAGAUGGAAAAAAGAAUGGGAAAAUGACAUUAAAGAUCCAUGGCGUUGCUCUGAAAAACAGCUCUGGAGUCCUCUGCUUAGGCCUUGGAGGGCACUGAAGCUGGACUGUAGAAUGCAUAGUUGGGAUCAAAUACCGUAUCGGGUGCAUGAAAGAUCGUAGUAAUUGAAGUAGUAAUUGCCUUCUCAUCUAACAAUACUCCAUCGGAGAAAUCUGAAAAAACCAAAAAAGUAGUAUCAGAUUGCAAUACUGCUGCAUAAUAACACCCACUUCUUAGUUCUCACAAGAGCAAAUUGGGAAAAUACUAGCAAUUUACUUCUCAAACCAUUAUGCUCCAACGGCCACAAGUCCCGAGGCUUUUAAAAUGAUAAUGUUUCCUUUUUAAAGUGUUUUUUUUACUUAAAAGAAUAUUAAAAUAAUAUAUUUUUUUAUUUUUUAAAAUUUAUUUUUAACAUCACCAAAUCAAAACAAUCCAAAAACACUAAAAAUAUUAAUUUAAAAAAAAAAACAAAUUUUGACAAAAAACAUGUUGAAACUCACUCUUAAACACCCCAUUACUAGCAUUCAUUACCAAGACAAAAGAAUUAUAUUAUUAAUUAGAAGCCAUGUCAAUUUUUUUUUAACCUUUAAUUAACUAUAUUCUCUGCAUAAUCCGACUCUUUUUUUCUCUAGCAAUAUUUUAUACAUUAAACUAUAUUUCGGUUUCACUUGCCAAAAAGAACUGAAAUUGGAAGUAAAACGAUUCCGGUAUAAAGUAUGGGCCUUACCUAACCGUAUAGAGAUGGUUUAUAUGUAUAUGAAGUUUUCAUUAUCAAAGCUACCAGGUAGAAGAGAUAACCCUACAACAACAGAAUUACAAACAGCAGAGAAUAUGUAUUACGAACACAAGUGAACAAGAACGUCAACUAAAAGAAUGACCUAAUUCAAGCAUCUACCACAAAAAUCUGGAAUCAUUCACAGCAGCCAAGUAUUGAACAAGAAUUGAAUAAUCUGAUGAAUCAAAACAACAUUAUUUGAGCUCUCAGAUUUGUGAAUUCUCAUUUAUUGAGUAGCCUAGUUUGCGGAUGCACAUAAAUCAGAAACUCUCUUGAUGCAACAAUAUCUGGGACAGAAAAUUGACAGAUGCACUGGAAUUCAAGAGCUGAAAGUAAACCCAAUUUUAAUGCAAGUCCUUUUGACCAGCAACUUUUUUUUCACCACAAAAAGGUCUCCUUUUGCUGUUUGGUUACCAAAAACACUUAAACACAAGGUGCUUUACGCUCCAUGGGCAUCUUUUUUCCUUUUGCUUUAAGAGCUUUUCAUGAUGACGCUUAUUAUAAUAAUGCAAAACAAAGAUUUAGCAAAAGCACAAAUUUCCACUCUAACAAAGCACAUCCCAGCAUUAGGGGACCCUCAUACUUGCCUCCUUAACUUUACAUCCUCUUUGUGCGUGUGUGACAAACCAUUCAAGAACACAAUCCAACAAACGACCAUUAGGUACACACAAAUUCAUUAUUUUCAAACCACUGUAUAUUAACAUUGCAAGUCUCAGUCCCCCACUACAUAGCUUUCCAAUUUUUCUACCAGAUGCACAAUUUCUACUCUCUUUUUUUUUUUUUCAAUUCUCAGAUUAAUAGAAUAGUAAAAUCAGAUAAUUGAAGCAUGUAAAAUAAGAAUCGAAUACUGGAAGACCAGCAGCUUGUGCCACACUUUCCCUGUGUUCCAAACAGAAAGUUCAAGACCAAGUUGUUUGAAGAAAAAUGGGAAUGGAUUGUAUAGAAAUCAUAAGUUGCAGAAAAUUUACUCUUCAUGCAUUAAAUAAACAUUGCAACAAGCCCUUACAAGUUAUAAAGGGGGUGGCAUUCACAUUCUUCAGAGCAGUCACUGAAGACAAGAGAAAUUGAGACGAUUUGCCUCUUAUAAAUUAAGAUUUCACCGCCAAAUUAAGACUGGGCAUCAAUGUCUGAUUAAAGCAUUCAAAACCAACUGUCAAGUUACAAAGCUUCAAAAAAUGUGAAUGACAUUGCUGCGUUGGAAAUUCUUGUUCCUUGGUAAACACUAGAUAGGCCAAGGAAAGCUGCAAUUCCAGUUUACUAAAUCAACUAUACUUCUAGUAAAUUCACUGCUUGAAAACAGAUAGCUUGAGCAACAAAUGCACAUUUUAAGAAACAGAGCUGACCUCAAAAGAUUUGCAUUAGAAGAACGCCAGCUCUAAGAGGAAGCGCUUGCAGAGGCAGGCAAGUGGUCCACGACCAAUGGGGCAAGAGCAGCUUGGUGGUUUACCUCAUUUUUGUUUAUGGGCCUUGUACAUCUCUUCCAUUUCAACCACAACUAACCUCUUCACCUGAUGGAAAAUUAAAUAAUGUAUUAGAACACAAUGCCCUAAAAGUAGAAGAAAUUGCAAAUAUUUGAACAAAUCUUUUCCUUAGAAUAUAUAAAACUUGGGCUUUGAAAGCAUUGAAUGCAUUCAUGUCUUCACCCUUUCACCUGCGUUGUCAGCUAAAACAUCUGAACAAAGCUAUAUUGCAAAGAAAAUGAAGUUGCACAGUAACAAACACUACAGGAAGAGAUGACUAAAAGUAAAAAAAUAAAAAACAUUUUGAGCCAUUCCUUUACUAUAGAGAGUUUGGUUCAUUUAUUCAUCAAAUCUAUUCUCUAAAUUCAAGAGAAAAACCAAUUCCCUAAUACAGACAAACAAAUAAAUUCUUAAAAAAAGAUGGACCUAGCAACAGCCCCAAUUCAGGCUCAAGCUAAGACAGGUCAUAAACUGAUUCGAAUCAAGAUUGUUUAUGAAACUAAAAGCGGAGAUUAAGAGAAAAUGUAAGAUUUUUUAACUCACCUUAAUAAGUAUUAUUAGGUGAGGCCUGAUCCCUCAAACUUCCUUUAUAAGAUUGUUAAAUUUGUUUAUGUUCGCAUUCUCUCCAUCGAAAUCUCUGUCUCUGCUCUCUAUCCAAUAGUAAUGAAUAAUGAUGGAAAGAUAAGGAAGAGCAGAUGCGUUCCCUUUUUCAAAUUUCUGGCAACUUUAGGAUAUGUUAUUUUAUAUUUAAAAAAACCCAUAAAAAAUAGAUAAAUAGAUAAACAAUUUUAACUACCCAAAAUGGAAACUGGGGAUAAAUGGGAUCCCUAUUCGAGAAUUUCA
This 3394-nucleotide long non-coding RNA is filed under the name Populus tremula. Its description in RNAcentral is "long non-coding RNA (PTRE_LNC000493)". Lineage: Eukaryota; Viridiplantae; Streptophyta; Magnoliopsida; Malpighiales; Salicaceae. The record is from RNAcentral.